RNAcentral lists this long non-coding RNA (278 nucleotides) under Equus caballus (horse). Its description in RNAcentral is "lncRNA (ENSECAG00000058190.1)". The record is from RNAcentral. Lineage: Eukaryota; Metazoa; Chordata; Mammalia; Perissodactyla; Equidae.
CUUCCAGUCCUGCCCCUCGCGCCCCCCAGCCUCCCAGGCCUGCGCGCACCAGCCAUCAGCAUCGAAAGCACAUCUCUGGGUGGCCCUUCGUUGUGGGAAGACAAAACCAGGGACAGCUUUCCUGAUUCCUGCCCAGAAGAAUGACCUGGGGCCAGCAGCAUCUAGCCCGGGAAUGUCCCCACAGCCUCCUCCCCAGUCCAGACCUCCAGGUGUGGUUUUGAAGGAUUACAUCAGCCAUGGCCGGGGCAGCCCGUUCAGCAGAAACGUUCCAAUCCUCC